RNAcentral lists this ribosomal RNA (459 nucleotides) under uncultured bacterium. RNAcentral describes it as "partial 16S ribosomal RNA". It matches the Rfam family "Bacterial small subunit ribosomal RNA", at positions 338 to 795 of the family's 1533-position model. The record is from RNAcentral.
CCUACGGGUGACAGCAGUGAGGAAUAUUGGUCAAUGGACGAGAGUCUGAACCAGCCAAGUAGCGUGAAGGAUACUGCCCUAUGGGUUGUAAACUUCUUUUAUAAAGGAAUAAAACGAGGCACGUGUGCCUUCUUGCAUGUACUUUAUGAAUAAGGAUCGGCUAACUACGUGCCAGCAGCCGCGGUAAUACGGAGGAUCGGAGCGUUGUCCGGAUUUAUUGGGUUUAAAGGAAGCGUAGAUGGGUUGUUAAGUCAGUUGUGAAGGUUUGCGGCGCAACCGUAAAAUUGCAAUUGAUACUGGCAGUCUUGAGUACAGUUGAGGUAGGCGGAAUUCGUGGUGUAGCGGUGAAAUGCUUAGAUAUCACGAAGAACCCCGAUCGCGAAGGCAGCUGACUAAACUGUGACUGACAUUGAUGCUCGAAAGUGUGGGUAUCAAACAGGAUUAGAUACCCUUGUAGUC